AUGAACGCUGGCGGCGUGCCUAAUACAUGCAAGUCGAGCGAACAGACGAGGAGCUUGCUCCCCUGACGUUAGCGGCGGACGGGUGAGUAACACGUGGAUAACCUACCUAUAAGACUGGGAUAACUUCGGGAAACCGGAGCUAAUACCGGAUAAUAUAUUGAACCGCAUGGUUUAAUAGUGAAAGACGGUUUUGCUGUCACUUAUAGAUGGGUCCGCGCCGCAUUAGCUAGUUGGUAAGGUAACGGCUUACCAAGGCAACGAUGCGUAGCCGACCUGAGAGGGUGAUCGGCCACACUGGAACUACGACACGGUCCAGACUCCUACGGGAGGCAGCAGUAGGGAAUCUUCCGCAAUGGGCGAAAGCCUGACGGAGCAACGCCGCGUGAGUGAUGAAGGUCUUCGGAUCGUAAAACUCUGUUAUUAGGGAAGAACAAAUGUGUAAGUAACUAUGCACGUCUUGACGGUACCUAAUCAGAAAGCCACGGCUAACUACGUG
Molecule: ribosomal RNA, 496 nt
Filed under: uncultured bacterium
Lineage: Bacteria
Description: partial 16S ribosomal RNA
Rfam family: Bacterial small subunit ribosomal RNA
Source: RNAcentral